RNAcentral lists this ribosomal RNA (907 nucleotides) under Palpopleura sexmaculata. RNAcentral's name for it is "SSU rRNA". It matches the Rfam family "Eukaryotic small subunit ribosomal RNA", at positions 47 to 915 of the family's 1831-position model. Lineage: Eukaryota; Metazoa; Arthropoda; Insecta; Odonata; Libellulidae. The record is from RNAcentral.
GGCCAUGCAUGUCUCAGUACAAGCCGCAUUAAGGCGAAACCGCGAAUGGCUCAUUAAAUCAGUUAUGGUUCCUUAGAUCUUACACUUUUUACAUGGAUAACUGUGGUAAUUCUAGAGCUAAUACAUGAAACUAGUACCCCGACUUUACGGAAGGGGUGCUUUUAUUAGAACAAAACCAAUCGGUCGGCUCGUCCGUCCGUUGCCUUGGUGACUCUGAAUAACUUUGGGCUGAUCGCACGGUCCUAGCACCGGCGACGCAUCUUUCAAAUGUCUGCCUUAUCAACUGUCGAUGGUAGGUUCUGCGCCUACCAUGGUUGUAACGGGUGACGGGGAAUCAGGGUUCGAUUCCGGAGAGGGAGCCUGAGAAACGGCUACCACAUCCAAGGAAGGCAGCAGGCGCGCAAAUUACCCACUCCCGGCACGGGGAGGUAGUGACGAAAAAUAACGAUACGGGACUCAUCCGAGGCCCCGUAAUCGGAAUGAGAACACUUUAAAUCCUUUAACGAGGAUCUAUUGGAGGGCAAGUCUGGUGCCAGCAGCCGCGGUAAUUCCAGCUCCAAUAGCGUAUAUUAAAGUUGUUGCGGUUAAAAAGCUCGUAGUCGGAGGUGUGUCUCGGACGGUCGGUUCGCCGCUUGUCGGUGCUCAACUGGCCGGUCCGGACGUCCUGCCGGUGGGGCUGUAAAAGGCUCCGUUAUCCUUCUUUGGUCCUCUUCAUUGAGUGCCUUGGUGGGCCGGCACGUUUACUUUGAACAAAUUAGAGUGCUCAAAGCAGGCCGUUGGUCGCCUGAAUACUGUGUGCAUGGAAUAAUAGAAUAGGACCUCGGUUCCAUUUUGUUGGUUUUCAGAACUCGAGGUAAUGAUUAAUAGGGACGGACGGGGGCAUUCGUAUUGCGACGUUAGAGGUGAA